RNAcentral lists this long non-coding RNA (1634 nucleotides) under Lactuca sativa (garden lettuce). RNAcentral's name for it is "long non-coding RNA (LSAT_LNC001737)". Lineage: Eukaryota; Viridiplantae; Streptophyta; Magnoliopsida; Asterales; Asteraceae. The record is from RNAcentral.
AACUAUUAAAGACUAAAUGUGUACAAAAUGAAAAAUAUAUUACCAUAUUAAGUCAUUUUUCCGGCUAACCAAGAGUAAACGGUUAUAAAAACUAAAUGAGUACAGUUUAAUAAUUUGAAAGGAUAAAUAUAGACGGAAAAAAAAAUCAAUAAAUCAAAUAAAAAUAUAUUACCAAAAACCCAACCUAGCUCGAACUGGAUAAGAGUUUGAAAUUUUUUGGAUAAGAGUUUGAAAUAUGUUGAAGAAGAUCAACGUCGAUUUGCUCCGAUCCCACUGACUCUAUUGUCGGUUCUAGUGCUGAUCUGUCUAACUUUCUAGCAAUUGGACAAAAAUCCCCAUUUUCCCUGUGUUUCCGUCUCCUACUGUCCGACACCACGACUUUGGCUGUCGAUUUGCAUCCACCAGUCCCGCUGCAGUCACCAGUCGACGCCACCAAGUCCGGCGCCAUAUCCGCCCACUGCCGCUCCCUCUUUCUCUUCUUUCCCAUCUUUUUACACUUGAGGUAAAAAGCCUAACUUUUUAUUACUUUGAAAUUUCAAGGUUUAGGGGGUAAUGCGAAGAUGGAUUCUACUGGAAUUGCUUAUCUAAUGCAUAUUCAUACAUCUCAGGAGUCGGGUGGAUAAACUCUUUUCCCACACCUCGCAUGUUCAGAAUUAGAUGACUUCAACCUUUGUUUUGCUCAUGUAUUCAGUUUCUUGCAAUUGCAAAUUCAAUUCUAUUAAUUUCUUUUGGAAUCACCAAAUCAGUUUAGUCUAGAAAUAAAAUGCAUUGAAAUACGCACUAAAAAAGUAUCCGAAACUGCAGUUAAUCUGGAAAUACAAGCAAAACAUCAUAAGUAAGUUUUAGUUGAUCUGUGGCUUAUAGCAAAACACCAUAGGUAUUGUUAACUAUCAUAUUGAGAUUUAAAAAAGCUACGGAGUCUAUGGAAAGAAGGUAAACUCGAAGAACUAAUCUAAUCAUCAAUUCCAGAUUCAUCUAAACACUGCCGAGAUACAAGGUAGAGAAAGCUUAAAGCCAUUUUUUUUUAUGUAUGAUCUGUGAAUUAUAUAGGAGUUUGUACUUUGUAUAUAUGCAAGCUGUAGAAGUUUUUAUAAUGUUUGUAGUUUGGAGUGUUAAAGUCGUAUAUUAGAUUUUUUAUUUGGAAAAUUUUCCAUAAAAAUCACUAUAAGUUGUAUUUGAAACUAUAGUUUGGACUUUGGAGUGUUAAAGUCGUAAAAGUUGUAUUUGAAACUUUUUAUAUUUAUGUUUAUAGAAUUAUAGAAUUUGUAUUUGAAACUCUCUAGAUUUGUGUUUAUUGUUUUGUUGAUAUUGCAAAAUGCUGUUUAUUUGUGGAUAUUCUGUGGAUAAAUUAUCCAUAGAUAAUCUGAAACUAAUCGAUUUUGUGGGUAACAAAUAUGUGGAUAAUCUAUGGAUUAUUCACGGAUUUAUCGAUCUUUUUUGUAGUAGUGAUAUAGAUGAUUUUGUGGCUUUUCUUAAUCAUUUUAUCUGUGUUUUCAUAAAUACUAAUAUUACGUAUUUUUAGUUAGACGAUUAAAAAAGUUUGGAUUUCCAAAACAUCAUUUUCCUUGUGAAAAGGUGUUGAAGACUUUUACCUACCAAUUUCCAAAAUCAAUAAUAAAGCCAAAGUCCACUAC